Molecule: ribosomal RNA, 827 nt
Filed under: Metedwardsia akkeshi
Lineage: Eukaryota; Metazoa; Cnidaria; Anthozoa; Actiniaria; Edwardsiidae
Description: partial 12S ribosomal RNA
Rfam family: Bacterial small subunit ribosomal RNA
Source: RNAcentral
UUCACUGAAACAAGGGGAAGACUCACAUAGAGGCAGCAGUAGAGAAUCUUGUGCAAUAAACGAAAGUAUGACACAGAGAGGACACAUUWAAUUGRGCCYGUCAAAUUAAGUGCMARSCGACGCGGUUAAACUUAAGGGCUGGUCUUUAUAAGUAAAAAGGCGUAAAGGAUGUGUAGGCCAAGAAACGAUCCAAGUAGGUAAAUGGAAUUUUUCUGGAGCGGUAGAAUGUGAGGAUAGAAAAUAGAACCCCUAAGGUAAAAACUAUUUACUACAAGGUAGGCUGAAACAUGAGAGUGUGGGGAGCAAACAGGAUUAGAGACCCUGGUAGUCCACACUGUAAACUUUGAAGAUGAUGCUUAGCAGACCCGAAAGGUAAAAUCUUCCGCCUGAGUAGUACGAUCGCAAGAUUAAAAUUCAAAAACUUUGGCUGUUCACUAUUUCGAUUAGAGGAGCGUGUAGUUUAAUUCGAUGGUCCGCGUGUUACCUUACCCCAACUUGAAUCUGUGACCGGUAUUGCAUGGCCGUCGUAAGUUCGUGUAUUAAGCUAGAAGGGACCCAACCCGGGCAUUUGCCCGGAGGAAGUCAGGUCUUAUGAUCCGAAUGUUGGGGGAUUUUAUGCGCUACAUUUUCUUAUAUAAUGAGAAACCUGGAAGGUGAGUCUCUAAAGUAAGAGUUCGGAAGGUCGCUGUAAGACGACUGGAAGUUGGAUUUAAUAGUAAUCGGAAAGUAGGGCGUUCCGGUGAAUUGGUACAAGUGUUAGCACAAAUUGCCCGUCACCUUUACUUAGAAUGGUUAUUCGGAUGUCUUCGGUGAUUAUGAAUGCCUAC